This 337-nucleotide ribosomal RNA is filed under the name uncultured bacterium. RNAcentral describes it as "bacterial SSU rRNA". It matches the Rfam family "Bacterial small subunit ribosomal RNA", at positions 335 to 663 of the family's 1533-position model. The record is from RNAcentral.
ACUCCUACGGGAGGCAGCAGUGGGGAAUAUUGCACAAUGGGCGCAAGCCUGAUGCAGCCAUGCCGCGUGUGUGAAGAAGGCCUUCGGGUUGUAAAGCACUUUCAGUCGUGAGGAAGGUAGUGUAGUUAAUAGCUGCAUUAUUUGUACGUUAGCGACAGAAGAAGCACCGGCUAACUCCGUGCCAGCAGCCGCGGUAAUACGGAGGGUGCGAGCGUUAAUCGGAAUUACUGGGCGUAAAGCGCAUGCAGGUGGUUUGUUAAGUCAGAUGUGAAAGCCCGGGGCUCAACCUCGGAAUAGCAUUUGAAACUGGCAGACUAGAGUACUGUAGAGGGGGUUA